AGCCCCGUACACAAAAAUGCACAUAUUGUGAGCUCGAUGAGUAGGGCGGGACACGUGGUAUCCUGUCUGAAUAUGGGGGGACCAUCCUCCAAGGCUAAAUACUCCUGACUGACCGAUAGUGAACCAGUACCGUGAGGGAAAGGCGAAAAGAACCCCGGCGAGGGGAGUGAAAAAGAACCUGAAACCGUGUACGUACAAGCAGUGGGAGCACGCUUAGGCGUGUGACUGCGUACCUUUUGUAUAAUGGGUCAGCGACUUAUAUUCUGUAGCAAGGUUAACCGAAUAGGGGAGCCGAAGGGAAACCGAGUCUUAACUGGGCGUUAAGUUGCAGGGUAUAGACCCGAAACCCGGUGAUCUAGCCAUGGGCAGGUUGAAGGUUGGGUAACACUAACUGGAGGACCGAACCGACUAAUGUUGAAAAAUUAGCGGAUGACUUGUGGCUGGGGGUGAAAGGCCAAUCAAACCGGGAGAUAGCUGGUUCUCCCCGAAAGCUAUUUAGGUAGCGCCUCGUGAAUUCAUCUCCGGGGGUAGAGCACUGUUUCGGCAAGGGGGUCAUCCCGACUUACCAACCCGAUGCAAACUGCGAAUACCGGAGAAUGUUAUCACGGGAGACACACGGCGGGUGCUAACGUCCGUCGUGAAGAGGGAAACAACCCAGACCGCCAGCUAAGGUCCCAAAGUCAUGGUUAAGUGGGAAACGAUGUGGGAAGGCCCAGACAGCCAGGAUGUUGGCUUAGAAGCAGCCAUCAUUUAAAGAAAGCGUAAUAGCUCACUGGUCGAGUCGGCCUGCGCGGAAGAUGUAACGGGGCUAAACCAUGCACCGAAGCUGCGGCAGCGACGCUGAUGCGUUGUUGGGUAGGGGAGCGUUCUGUAAGCCUGUGAAGGUGUGCUGUGAGGUAUGCUGGAGGUAUCAGAAGUGCGAAUGCUGACAUAAGUAACGAUAAAGCGGGUGAAAAGCCCGCUCGCCGGAAGACCAAGGGUUCCUGUCCAACGUUAAUCGGGGCAGGGUGAGUCGACCCCUAAGGCGAGGCCGAAAGGCGUAGUCGAUGGGAAACAGGUUAAUAUUCCUGUACUUGGUGUUACUGCGAAGGGGGGACGGAGAAGGCUAUGUUGGCCGGGCGACGGUUGUCCCGGUUUAAGCGUGUAGGCUGGUUUUCCAGGCAAAUCCGGAAAACUAAGGCUGAGGCGUGAUGACGAGGCACUACGGUGCUGAAGCAACAAAUGCCCUGCUUCCAGGAAAAGCCUCUAAGCAUCAGGUAACAUCAAAUCGUACCCCAAACCGACACAGGUGGUCAGGUAGAGAAUACCAAGGCGCUUGAGAGAACUCGGGUGAAGGAACUAGGCAAAAUGGUGCCGUAACUUCGGGAGAAGGCACGCUGAUAUGUAGGUGAAGUCCCUCGCGGAUGGAGCUGAAAUCAGUCGAAGAUACCAGCUGGCUGCAACUGUUUAUUAAAAACACAGCACUGUGCAAACACGAAAGUGGACGUAUACGGUGUGACGCCUGCCCGGUGCCGGAAGGUUAAUUGAUGGGGUCAGCGCAAGCGAAGCUCUUGAUCGAAGCCCCGGUAAACGGCGGCCGUAACUAUAACGGUCCUAAGGUAGCGAAAUUCCUUGUCGGGUAAGUUCCGACCUGCACGAAUGGCGUAAUGAUGGCCAGGCUGUCUCCACCCGAGACUCAGUGAAAUUGAACUCGCUGUGAAGAUGCAGUGUACCCGCGGCAAGACGGAAAGACCCCGUGAACCUUUACUAUAGCUUGACACUGAACAUUGAGCCUUGAUGUGUAGGAUAGGUGGGAGGCUUUGAAGUGUGGACGCCAGUCUGCAUGGAGCCGACCUUGAAAUACCACCCUUUAAUGUUUGAUGUUCUAACGUUGACCCGUAAUCCGGGUUGCGGACAGUGUCUGGUGGGUAGUUUGACUGGGGCGGUCUCCUCCUAAAGAGUAACGGAGGAGCACGAAGGUUGGCUAAUCCUGGUCGGACAUCAGGAGGUUAGUGCAAUGGCAUAAGCCAGCUUGACUGCGAGCGUGACGGCGCGAGCAGGUGCGAAAGCAGGUCAUAGUGAUCCGGUGGUUCUGAAUGGAAGGGCCAUCGCUCAACGGAUAAAAGGUACUCCGGGGAUAACAGGCUGAUACCGCCCAAGAGUUCAUAUCGACGGCGGUGUUUGGCACCUCGAUGUCGGCUCAUCACAUCCUGGGGCUGAAGUAGGUCCCAAGGGUAUGGCUGUUCGCCAUUUAAAGUGGUACGCGAGCUGGGUUUAGAACGUCGUGAGACAGUUCGGUCCCUAUCUGCCGUGGGCGCUGGAGAACUGAGGGGGGCUGCUCCUAGUACGAGAGGACCGGAGUGGACGCAUCACUGGUGUUCGGGUUGUCAUGCCAAUGGCACUGCCCGGUAGCUAAAUGCGGAAGAGAUAAGUGCUGAAAGCAUCUAAGCACGAAACUUGCCCCGAGAUGAGUUCUCCCUGACUCCUUGAGAGUCCUGAAGGAACGUUGAAGACGACGACGUUGAUAGGCCGGGUGUGUAAGCGCAGCGAUGCGUUGAGCUAACCGGUACUAAUGAACCGUGAGGCUUAACCUUACAACGCCGAAGGUGUUU
This 2591-nucleotide ribosomal RNA is filed under the name Shigella flexneri. RNAcentral's name for it is "partial 23S ribosomal RNA". It matches the Rfam family "Bacterial large subunit ribosomal RNA", at positions 369 to 2925 of the family's 2925-position model. Lineage: Bacteria; Pseudomonadati; Pseudomonadota; Gammaproteobacteria; Enterobacterales; Enterobacteriaceae. The record is from RNAcentral.